CGGACGCCAGGGGAUCGGCCUGCGGCCCAUUAUUUAAUCCUAGUUGGUAGGGUAACGGCCUACCAAGGGUACGAUGGGUAGCUGGUCUGAGAGGAUGAUCAGCCACACUGGAACUGAGACACGGUCCAGACUCCUACGGGAGGCAGCAGUGGGGAAUAUUGGACAAUGGGCGCAAGCCUGAUCCAGCCACGCCGCGUGGGUGAUGAAGGCCUUCGGGGUUGUAAAGCCCUGUCGGAGGGGACGAAGUCUUCGGAUUGACGGUACCUUCCAAGAAAGCACCGGCUAACUCCGUGCCAGCAGCCGCGGUAAUACGGAGGGUGCAAGCGUUGCUCGGAAUUACUGGGCGUAAAGCGUACGCAGGCGGUCUGAUAAGUCGGGUGUGAAAGCCCCGGGGCUCAACCCGGGAACUGCAUUCGAAAACUGCCAGACUUGAGUUUGGGAGAGGGAAGUGGAAUUCCUGGUGUAGAG
Molecule: ribosomal RNA, 468 nt
Filed under: uncultured bacterium
Lineage: Bacteria
Description: bacterial SSU rRNA
Rfam family: Bacterial small subunit ribosomal RNA
Source: RNAcentral